GCCGGGCAUGGUGGUGGGUGCCUGUAAUCCCAGCUACUCGGGAGGCUGAGGCAGGAGAAUUGCUUGAACUCAGGAGGUGGAGGUUGCAGUGAGCCGAGGUCACGCCACUGCACUCUAGCCUGGGCAACAAAGCAAGAUUUGGUCUCCA
Molecule: non-coding RNA, 148 nt
Filed under: Pan troglodytes (chimpanzee)
Lineage: Eukaryota; Metazoa; Chordata; Mammalia; Primates; Hominidae
Source: Rfam by way of RNAcentral